UACAGAGGGUGCGAGCGUUGUUCGGAAUUACUGGGCGUAAAGCGCGCGCAGGCGGCUUUUUAAGUCCGUUGGUGAAAUGCCGGGGCUCAACCCCGUGCCCGCCAGGGAUACUGGAGAGCUGGAGACGAGUAGAGGCAAGCGGAAUUCCGGGUGUAGCGGUGAAAUGCGCAGAUAUCAGGAAGAACACCCGUGGCGAAGGCGGCUCUCUGGGACGGUACUGACGCUGAGACGCGAAAGCGUGGGGAGCGAACAGG
Molecule: ribosomal RNA, 254 nt
Filed under: uncultured bacterium
Lineage: Bacteria
Description: partial 16S ribosomal RNA
Rfam family: Bacterial small subunit ribosomal RNA
Source: RNAcentral